UUGAGGGGAAUGUUGUCUGGCUCGAGGACACUUUUAUUCGAUCUUUUGAUUUUUGUGUUUAUAUUUAGUGUCGUCGGACCAGGCUUCAUUCCCCCCAAUUAAU
Molecule: microRNA precursor, 103 nt
Filed under: Cucumis melo (muskmelon)
Lineage: Eukaryota; Viridiplantae; Streptophyta; Magnoliopsida; Cucurbitales; Cucurbitaceae
Description: miR166b stem-loop (cme-MIR166b)
Gene: cme-MIR166b
Rfam family: mir-166 microRNA precursor family
About the family: This family represents the plant microRNA (miRNA) precursor mir-166. Animal miRNAs are transcribed as ~70nt precursors and subsequently processed by the Dicer enzyme to give a ~22nt product.
Source: miRBase by way of RNAcentral